This 463-nucleotide ribosomal RNA is filed under the name uncultured marine eukaryote. RNAcentral describes it as "SSU rRNA". It matches the Rfam family "Eukaryotic small subunit ribosomal RNA", at positions 646 to 1107 of the family's 1831-position model. The record is from RNAcentral.
GCGGUCUGAGGGCGGUUCGCUUGAUUGAGUGCUACUGCUCUAUAGGCCGUGGUUUUGCCAGAGGUCUCGGGUGCUCUUAACCGAGUGUCCUGCGAUGCUGGCAGGUUUACUUUGAAAAAAUUAGAGUGCUCAAAGCAGGCUUUUACGCCUGAAUAUUCGUGCAUGGAAUAAUAGAAUAGGAAGUCGUUUCUAUUUUGUUGGUUUUCGGAAAUCGACUUAAUGAUUAAUAGGGACAGUCGGGGGCAUUUGUAUUCAAACGACAGAGGUGAAAUUCUUGGACCGUUUGAAGACAAACUACUGCGAAAGCAUUUGCCAAGAAUGUUUUCAUUAAUCAAGAACGAAAGUUAGAGGUUCGAAGGCGAUUAGAUACCGCCCUAGUUCUAACCAUAAACGAUGCCAGCUAGCGAUCUGCCGACGUUUUCUUUGUAGACUCGGCAGGAAGCUUCCGGGAAACCAAAGCAUU